CGAAAGCUAUUUAGGUAGCGCCUCGUGAAUUCAUCUCCGGGGGUAGAGCACUGUUUCGGCUAGGGGGCCAUCCCGGCUUACCAACCCGAUGCAAACUGCGAAUACCGGAGAAUGUUAUCACGGGAGACACACGGCGGGUGCUAACGUCCGUCGUGAAGAGGGAAACAACCCAGACCGCCAGCUAAGGUCCCAAAGUCAUGGUUAAGUGGGAAACGAUGUGGGAAGGCCCAGACAGCCAGGAUGUUGGCUUAGAAGCAGCCAUCAUUUAAAGAAAGCGUAAUAGCUCACUGGUCGAGUCGGCCUGCGCGGAAGAUGUAACGGGGCUAAACCAUGCACCGAAGCUGCGGCAGCGACACUGUGUGUUGUUGGGUAGGGGAGCGUUCUGUAAGCCUGUGAAGGUGUGUCGUGAGGCAUGCUGGAGGUAUCAGAAGUGCGAAUGCUGACAUAAGUAACGAUAAAGCGGGUGAAAAGCCCGCUCGCCGGAAGACCAAGGGUUCCUGUCCAACGUUAAUCGGGGCAGGGUGAGUCGACCCCUAAGGCGAGGCCGAAAGGCGUAGUCGAUGGGAAACGGGUUAAUAUUCCCGUACUUGGUGUUACUGCGAAGGGGGGACGGAGAAGGCUAUGUUGGCCGGG
Molecule: ribosomal RNA, 633 nt
Filed under: Salmonella enterica
Lineage: Bacteria; Pseudomonadati; Pseudomonadota; Gammaproteobacteria; Enterobacterales; Enterobacteriaceae
Also listed under: 1 other name
Description: partial 23S ribosomal RNA
Rfam family: Bacterial large subunit ribosomal RNA
Source: RNAcentral